GACGAACGCUGGCGGCGUGCCUAACACAUGCAAGUCGAGCGGGUUGAAGCGAGAGGUAACUCGAACUUCUACCUAGCGGCGGACGGGUGAGUAACGCGUGGGCAACCUGCCUCAAGGUCUGGGAUAACAGCCCGAAAGGGCUGCUAAUACUGGGUAUGCUUGUGGCCUCGCAUGGGGCUAUGAGCAAAGGGGAAACCCGCCUUGAGAUGGGCCCGCGUCCCAUCAGCUAGUUGGUGAGGUAACAGCUCACCAAGGCGACGACGGGUAGCCGGCCUGAGAGGGUGACCGGCCACACUGGGACUGAGACACGGCCCAGACUCCUACGGGGGGCAGCAGUGGGGGAUCUUGCACAAUGGGCGAAAGCCUGAUGCAGCGACGCCGCGUGAGCGAAGAAGGCCUCGGUUGUAAAGCUCUGUCUGGAGGGACGAAGGAAGUGACGGUACCUCCGGAGGAAGCCCGGCUAACUACGUG
Molecule: ribosomal RNA, 471 nt
Filed under: uncultured bacterium
Lineage: Bacteria
Description: bacterial SSU rRNA
Rfam family: Bacterial small subunit ribosomal RNA
Source: RNAcentral